Molecule: long non-coding RNA, 524 nt
Organism: Vidua chalybeata
Lineage: Eukaryota; Metazoa; Chordata; Aves; Passeriformes; Viduidae
Exons: 3
Source: RefSeq, a predicted model, not a curated record
UGAAAUCAGCGCCUAGCCAGUUCUUUUGGACUAUUAAAUUAAAUCUAGAGAAUCAUUGUAAAGCUAUGUUGCACAGAUAACAUGGACUUGUACCUACAUCAGUUAUCCCUCCAGCCUUUUAACACUCCUUGAGGAUAAGCUGCAGAGGGGUUGUGUGUCACAGAGCUCUGAGUCACUGCCCAGCAACAGAUACAGGUGCAGAACAGACAAUGGAGGCAUUUGGAGCUGCAGGGCUGUGACAGGAGCAAAAGUUCAAGAUCAGCUCUGUCAUGUGCUUGAGGGUGGAGAAGUUUCUAGGAGAUGGGCACAGUGCCACAGGUUCCUUAGUCCAGAUAAGCCCACCCUGGGCUUAUCUGGAAUAAACCUCUGUCAUCUUUCAAAGACUCAGCACCUUCAUUGUAUUUUCUGUGGCACUCAUGUGGAAUCAACUGAUAUAGACAAAGCAUCAUCUGUGUGGCACAGCCAGAGUGACUCUGCAUCCAUUUAAUUCAUGCCAAAAAUGCACAGUAGGCAAUGGAACAACA